Molecule: ribosomal RNA, 460 nt
Filed under: uncultured bacterium
Lineage: Bacteria
Description: partial 16S ribosomal RNA
Rfam family: Bacterial small subunit ribosomal RNA
Source: RNAcentral
CCUACGGGUGGCUGCAGUGAGGAAUAUUGGUCAAUGGGCGCGAGCCUGAACCAGCCAAGUAGCGUGAAGGAUGACUGCCCUACGGGUUGUAAACUUCUUUUAUAAAGGAAUAAAGUGAGGCACGUGUGCCUUUUUGUAUGUACUUUCUGAAUAAGGAUCGGCUAACUCCGUGCCAGCAGCCGCGGUAAUACGGAGGAUCCGAGCGUUAUACGGAUUUAUUGUGUUUAAAGGGAGCGGAGAUGGGUUGUUAAGUCAGUUGUGAAAGUUUGCGGCGCAACAGUAAAAUUGCAAGUGAUACUGGCAGUCUUGAGUACAGUUGAGGUAGGCGGAAUUCGUGGUGUAGCGGUGAAAUGCUUAGAGAUCACGAAGAACUCCGAUUGCGAAGGCAGCUUACUAAACUGCCACUGACAUUGAUGCUCGAAAGUGUGGGUAUCAAACAGGAUUAGAUACCCGGGUAGUC